CAGCACCUCAAGUGGUCAGGAUGAUUAUUGGGCCUAAAGCAUCCGUAGCCGGCUCUGUAAGUUUUCGGUUAAAUCUGUACGCUCAACGUACAGGCUGUCGGGAAUACUGCAGAGCUAGGGAGUGGGAGAGGUAGACGGUACUCGGUAGGAAGGGGUAAAAUCCUUUGAUCUAUUGAUGACCACCUGUGGCGAAGGCGGUCUACCAGAACACGUCCGACGGUGAGGGAUGAAAGCUGGGGGAGCAAACCGGAUUAGAUACCCGCGUAGUCC
This 270-nucleotide ribosomal RNA is filed under the name uncultured archaeon. Its description in RNAcentral is "partial 16S ribosomal RNA". It matches the Rfam family "Archaeal small subunit ribosomal RNA", at positions 477 to 747 of the family's 1478-position model. The record is from RNAcentral.